RNAcentral lists this ribosomal RNA (253 nucleotides) under uncultured bacterium. RNAcentral describes it as "partial 16S ribosomal RNA". It matches the Rfam family "Bacterial small subunit ribosomal RNA", at positions 524 to 776 of the family's 1533-position model. The record is from RNAcentral.
UACGGGGGGGGCAAGCGUUGUUCGGAAUUACUGGGCGUAAAGGGUUCGUAGGUGGCCUACUAAGUCAGACGUGAAAUCCCUCAGCUUAACUGGGGAACUGCGUCUGAUACUGGGGGGCUUGAGUGCAGGAGAGGAACGCGGAAUUCGAGGUGUAGCGGUGAAAUGCGUAGAUAUCUGGAGGAACACCGGUGGCGAAGGCGGCGUUCUGGACUGCAACUGACACUGAUGAACGAAAGCCAGGGGAGCAAACGGG